Molecule: ribosomal RNA, 365 nt
Filed under: Diptacus sp. SC3
Lineage: Eukaryota; Metazoa; Arthropoda; Arachnida; Trombidiformes; Diptilomiopidae
Description: partial small subunit ribosomal RNA
Source: RNAcentral
UCCAUUUUUAUUGAAAGUGACGGGCGAUAUGUGCACAUUUAAUUUAUUUUUAAAUAUUAAUUUUUCUUUAUAGUUUACUUUUAAAUCCUAUUUAAUUUUUUUUAUUUUUUUAUACUAUGUAAUUUUCUAUAGUAUUCCACCCUUUCUUUUAUUUAAUUUUUGUCUUGAUUUGUUUUACUAUGUUCUUUUAAAUUUUUAAUAGAAUUAACAAUUUUUAUCUCUUUAAAACAAUGAUAUAAAAAAUUAUAAUAAAAGUUCAUUUAAUCGUGGGUUGUCGAUUAUAAUGCAGAAUCCUCUAAAUAUUUUUUAUGCCGCCAUUUUUAACAGUUUUUUCUUAUUUAGGUACUUUCUUAUUUAGGCUAAAA